GUGCUUGCUUUGGCAGCCCAUACACUAGAAUUGGAGAACUACAGAGAUUAGUGUGGCCCCUGCUCAAGGAUGAAAUCCAAAUUUGUGAAGUGUUCCACAGUUAA
Suricata suricatta (meerkat) is the source of this 104-nucleotide small nuclear RNA. The record is from Ensembl. NCBI's taxonomy places the organism in Eukaryota, Metazoa, Chordata, Mammalia, Carnivora, Herpestidae.